Molecule: long non-coding RNA, 3924 nt
Filed under: Monomorium pharaonis (pharaoh ant)
Lineage: Eukaryota; Metazoa; Arthropoda; Insecta; Hymenoptera; Formicidae
Description: uncharacterized LOC118647931
Source: RNAcentral
UACUGUAAUACCUAGUAAUAUAUUUUCUUUCUAAAACAUUGUGAAUUCGCGAAUUGCCUUUGCCAAUUAUGAGGAGCAAGAAACGUUUUACCAAGAGGUGCAUACUCUACACUUAAUUGGCUAAUUAUCACCGACGUUCUCAUUUCACCGACCGCAAGACGUGCGAGUCAACGUUCAUCUAAUGGCUGAUUACGACAUCGAGAAUCGAGGUGCACUGUAUUCUAAAGCGUGACAGAUGUAGAAUCUUGGCGAACCGCGAAAUACAUUUUACACCUGCGAAAACAUGACAAUAAGACAAAUAUCGAGGAAAUUCAUAUAACAUGAAAGAAGCUUUUCGUUGAAUACAGAAUUAUUAUGAUUCGUCAUUAAAUCACAUAAGAAAAUUUAAAACAGUAAUAGGAAAAUUCAGAUAUUUUUUAAUCAGCGUGAGAAUUUGCAGUGUCCUUUUGUUUCGUCAACUUCUUUCGCAAAAAUAUGUAUGUACAUUUCGAAGAUACAUUUCGAGAAUAUCCGCGUGUACACAGAAUAUCUCAAGAAUCUCCCAGUACGAUUUCCUGCAGAUAAUAUAUGAUGAGCGGGGCAGAGUGCUGAUCAUAUCCGUUUAUUCUUUCGUUGCAGGCGGAGAAGGCGCGAGGGAGAAUCCUCGAGGACGCGUCCAUUAGAUAUCUCUGAUAUCUCCCCUCCUUGGAAGAGAUCGUGUUCCGUGAGGAAUUUACUACUGGGAUUUAUCAAUGCCUCGUGAUCCCACAGCCCCAGCCGCGUCAACGGGCGCGCGCGCCUCGAGAAGCAUGCGACCCAGAAUGCAGCGGGCGCGAAGUGUGCGCUAAUGGAGAGACGAGGCGACACACGUCACUUUAGCAGGACUGGUACCCGUUGUGAGAAAACCGUUGCUUUACGAGCCUGACAUCCUGACCGUCCGGAUUUUGGGACGGCAAUUUCACCUGUCGUCCGCAAUUUUUCACGAAAUUUUGCGCACGUAAAGUACUCGUCAUAAAAGAAACUAAUAUGUCUUACGUGUUACUUAUCCAUUACGCGUCUUGUCCAAUGGCAUAUCAUAUCACAGACAGGAAAAAUGCACGUAGAAAAAUUUCAACAUUAGUUUCAUUCUAAAAUGUAAUAUGAUAUAUUGCGUUACAAGACUAAAUUUAAUUUUGGAAUUAAUUUUAAAUGUAAUUAUUGUAACAUAUAGUAAUCUUUAAAAAAUUGACACCUAAAAUUAAGUGUUUACAUAUUUGUGGUUAGACAAAAUCAUCUUAGCACAAUUAUUAUUGGAUACAUUUCAGAAAUUAAUUUUGUAAUUAUUGUAAAAACUAUUUCAGCAUAAAAUUACAAUUGUUAUUCAAGCAUUCUCAAAUGAAAAUUUCAUAAAGAAGUUUAAACUGGCAUGCAUGAAACAUACAUACUAUUUAAAUAUCAUUUGUAAAUAUUUGAUAAAUAACUGAAUAAACAGAUUUACAAAUUAUAAUUAUAAAAUUCCUUUGUAGCGAAAGAUAUGCAUUUUUCUUCUGCAAAAUAUAACAAUUACCGCGAAAGUUUCCCACCUGAGACCUUAAUAUUUGAAUAUCUUUUUCAUUUUGUUGAAUAUGAUUUCCUUCUCUCUUGUCAGCUUCCUACAUCUUAAUUUCUAUAAUUAAUUUCUUAAUUCUAUCCAUACUUGCUAAUGACGUUCAUUAAAUCGCCCGUUCAUUAAAUCACUCUUCUCUAUUAAUCUACGCUGGUAAUAUUUUUAUCUUUUCGUUACAUUCAAAUCUUAUUCAAACGCGUCGGGGAACUUAGUCUCAAUAAUUGCUUCAUUCAUUUUUAAUUGAUCCUAUCUCGAGAAGUCUCGUCCGUAACACGUGACAUCGACACACUUUCCUCGCGUUCACCUCGGAAUUUUAGCCGAGCGCUAACCCGCCGUCGCUUCCACCCCACGACGGCGACGGGUUAGCGCUAUUGUGCGAACAACAAUGGAUUUUAUUUGAGCUCCCUAAAUGUAUGCACGGCCCGCAUCCACACGGCUAGCCAUGGGUACGUUUUCACUUCGCGUAGCGCGGCGGCGGCGCGUUUUCCCUUCCCGUUCGAAGAAUGCGCAACUUGAAACUUCCGGGAGAACUGGAAUCACCUGUGCCGCGUACAUCGGACUCGCGCGAAAAGUAUACUCGCACGCAUAUCUUUCUCUUCUUUCCUUCUUUUCCUUUUUCUCUUCCCUUGAGCCCUCGAGAUCUCGAGAGUCAAACUCCGUUUGUGCAACGUCUUAAAAAAAAUCUAAUUUCAAAUCUCGAUUUCGCGUGAUGCCUCAUCAGACGAACGUUCAGCGUAAUACGAUAGAUUUAAAAAGCUAAUCCUGGAACGUCUGCAUGGUUCUAAAAAUAGAAAUUACUUCAGACGGCUUCCACAACUUCCGGGACCGAAGAGCGAAAUAUGCUGCUUUGCACAUUCAUAGUUACACAUUUUUUUUUUAUUAGAGCGUAAUAUAAAAUUGGGUCUUAUUACGUCACGUAUACAAUGUCAUGUUGUUACAUCUUCUACUUUUCGUUUCUUCGCGUAACAUGGCACGGCGCGCAGAUAGAGAGUCCGUUUAUUUAUAAUUUUUUUUUUCACUCAUUGUCAGUCAAACCGAUCUGCGAUUACGACACAAUUCGAUCGUAUCGCCAUGCACGUCGUCCACUGACGUUGACGCUCGCAUAGUAAUCUUUGAUUAUUACGUUGUGGAAUGAAUAUUGCGUGAUUGUCGAGGCAUGCAAAAGUCGAUUUCACGAAUUUUAUGACGUAAAAGAAUGAGGCGCGUUGUCGCGAUCCGUUUUUUUUUUUAAGGAUUUUCGUCCACAUGCGUUUCAAAAGAUAACACGACAUAUUUUAAAUCUGAAACGUUACUCGCUAUAAAUUAUGUGAAUUUUAAGAUCAGAGUUCAAUUCUCUCGAUGCUGAUUGACUUUAAUCAUAAUUCAAUUAUCUUUCUUUGUUUAAAAACAGAAUUUGACAUCAGGUAAAGUUAAGCUACAAUUAAAGUUAAUGGACAUCGAAGGGACCGAUCCUUAGAGAUCCAUUUAAAUAGAUAGUUUUAAUAUCUUAAUUUAUACUUUAUGACCUAGAUUUGUUUCGGAAUUCACUUAAUCGGCACAUUCUUCCUGCGAUGAAUAUCGAAGCCAUUACACGAGAUUAAGACUAUAAUCGGGUUAAUAGCGUUUAUUACGGAUUUAAUUACAUUGGCUCUGUAAUUUUAAAUUAUGUAUCAAAUUAUGUAUCAUUGCGCCUGAUUACGUACGACAACGCUUACGUACAUCAUCGCAGUUACGUAUCUUAUUUCUAAUUGGUUUAAUUGUCUACAAAGACAUAAACCAAUCAUUACUGAGUUGCCUCACUUGUUAUCCUAAAAAUACGGUGAUACCUCGCUGAACAUUGGUAUACGACAUAUACCAUGCGUCAUUACCGUAGAAAGUUUCUAAUUGGAAAGGCGUUCCAAGCCAUAGAGCGUUAUACACACGAUGCGAAAUUACGCACGGAGAGUAGGAUUCGAUCGCAUCCUUGUGCGUAACACGCGUGCUUUCAUUCCGGGUUUAAAUGGCUGGAUUUGAGGACCCUGAAUUAUUCGCCCUUUCCCUUUUUAAAAGAUGGCGCUAAUUCUACCGCGUUUCUCUUUUUUGCCGGUGCAUUAUAAUAUUUCAGAGUAUUUAAACUUUUAUCCACUUAAUACGAACUUUUGAGAAGUGGCCUUCGCUCUGGGGAAAGAGAUUACUAAAAAUUAUACGGAUAAAAAUUUGCAUUUAUAUCCCAACUUUCGAGGAAACUUCGUCCUCUUUGCUCACAGUCGACCGAAGCGCGGCUUGUGUUUCCAAGGCAUUAACACGCGAUCGAUCGGCACGUCGUCGCGUCGGCUGUUUCGCAACGACCGCGAUCGCAACGGUCCACUUACGAUGUGCGUUCCGAAAGAAGAAAAAAAAAA